Molecule: long non-coding RNA, 2289 nt
Filed under: Salmo salar (Atlantic salmon)
Lineage: Eukaryota; Metazoa; Chordata; Actinopteri; Salmoniformes; Salmonidae
Description: lncRNA (ENSSSAG00000108260.1)
Source: RNAcentral
CACAGCUAGUGCUGGAGACCUGCUCGGUAACCCGUGUGUGUCAACAGAACCAUCCAACCGAAGAGCUGGUCAUGCAGUAACGAACAUCCUGGCCAAAGAGUUGAUGAAGGAGGACACCCCGCCCUCCUUCAGCAAACCGCUCAAUAAGAAGACCAAGGCAGAACAGAAGGAGGAGCCUAGCAUAGAGGGGGCGGGGUCACUAGAUGAUCUCUUAGAGGAAAGCCUAUCACGGUCCAGUUAAAAAAAACGGGUAGAAGUUACCCCUUAGCCACAGAUCUUGGAUCAGCCUACCAUACCCAUAUCCUAACCUUAACCAUGGGGGCAGGGAUACAGAAACUGAUCUUAGAUCAGUGUCUAGCAGCAACUUCCUCCUACUCUCCUUCGUAGGACCACGGGAUUGGACAGACUGGGUCUGAAGGGGCCAAUGGAUGAGUGCGGGGCUCUCACCUUAACCACACUCCCAGGGUUUCGCAGGCUGGCUUGCUAUUAGUCGCUUCCACGCUGAGGGAGGACUCUUGCUCUGCCGUAUAAACGUACAGUAUCAAUGGUCAAGCGUCAGCAUCUGCACACAUCCACUGCACUCUGUCUAUCGCUCAUUCAGUCUCUUUCUCUAUCAAUUUCUCUCACACACACUGUCACUAUCUAUCCAUCUACUUUCCUCUCUCUCUGAAGUACGUCUUGAGACAGUCCCACAGACACUUUAUCAGAAGGGAUCCUAUUUUUUAUCAUUUUUUUCUCCAGAGGGAUAGGAUGGAUUUCCCAAUCUGGAUGGUUGGACUGUCCUACCUAUGUGGAAGCCCUGAUGUUUUAUAGAACAUGUUUAGCUUUUUCCCAGGUUUGGUUUCAAACCUGUUAAAUGUUGCUCUGUAAUUGUCAAAUAUGCUGUAUGUUUAUAAAAGAAACAAGUGCCAACCAAUACAACUUGAAGUUGCACAUGUCAGCCCUCGUGUUGUCCAAUAGGAGUUUGUGUUGGGUUAGGGUGGACCAAGGGAUAGGUCUAAGUGUGUGUGUGCGCACGUGUUCCACAGUCCUCAUCUCAUUUCCCCGGUUCUUUAUGUUCUCUCUGAUUCACAGGGAGGAGUCACUAUGUCGGUGAUAAACAGACUAUAGGGCCUUAUUGGCCAUUCUCAAAGGACGUCUCCACAAGCAGGAAAUUGUGUGUGUGUCCAGAGCUACGUGUGUGUGUGUGUGUGUGUGGUUGUUUGUGCAUUCAUGUUGUGUGCGUGCGUGUGCGAGUUUGUGCUUGGGUAUGCUCUGCCAUCUGUAAUUACUGUAUGGUCCUGCCUCUGCCUGCCUGUCUGCCGUCAUCAUAAAUGCUAUAUUUCCUAAACAGCGCUGUGGUCUUUCUGCUGAAGUUACAGCACACUGGAGACCUGCCCCCCAAAAAAUGCUGAGACGAGUGUGUGUCCCCGAGUGUGUGUCGCCGUGCGUGUGUGUGUGCGCGCUUGCCCCUUUAGACUGCAACACCCGUUGCUGAAUGUCUGGCCUUUCCGGUUUUGUAUUUGUAUUCAACAUCAGCAAAUGUUGCCGCCACAACGUUCGUGUAAUCCAAGGAGAAUGAUAAGCAGUUCUGCCAGUUAACCCAUGCUUUACCAAUCCCUAUGCAAACAUGACAUAUCCCUACUGCUGAUCUCAAGUCAGUCACAAACGGUUAGAGCAUCUGCUUGAACAACUGUGGUUUCCCGUAAGCGCUGAUCAGAGAUCGGUUUGUACAGGUCUCUGGAAUCGAGCCAAGCACAAGCUUGUUGGGCUUUUACCAGCACAACAUAUUGUUAUUAUCAAAGAGCUGAGAGAUCGUUUCAUGAUAAUAAUCAUUGCUUCCUGCAGUAUAUUUCAAAGGUAUAAAAAUGACAAAUGUUACCGCAACGUCUGUGUGACUUAGCAACUUCAGUCAAGGGGCGACGAGGAAACAUUCAGCCCUUAGAUUGUAGUUGUUUGCCAGAAACAGAAGUAUGACGUGUCGACCGUAAGACAACGUUCCUUGUGUGGAUGAGUCAUUUCAGGUGAUCCUGUCCCUAUUAUUUAAGUGGUCUUUUAAAGGACGUUGAGGAAAGGUUGAAAAAACAUCACUGGAAAAUAAUCCAAUUUUCUGGCCUGAUUUUAUAAUUUUCUAGAUUUUUUCAUUUUUUCAUUUUUUUUCUUUUUAUAAGAGCUUGUUUUCUAUGUGAAUUUUUACUCUUGUUUUAAUGGACGUUAAAAGUAGAGGUUCAAGUUGAUUUCCGGAGAUAUCACUGUGGUAAUAUGUAUUAGAUUAUGUAAUUCGUUUGUGCUGUCCGCUACCAUUAAAAU